UCCAAUAGCCACCCAACCUCUGCAAGGAGUCCAUCCAUUUCCUCAAAGUGUGUGUGUGUGUGGGGGGGAGUAUAUCUCAAGGCAGCCAGGAGAAGGCUUUGAAGGACACACAGGAUUUUCCUGAAGACACAGUCUCUGAAAGAUGCGUCCUUCAGGAAGCGCCACCUCCCUGUUGCUAGCGGAUCUGAUCGGUGCUGACUCCAGACACAGGCACAAGACUGAAAUUCUUCAGCACGUUUGGUCAGGUCACGUAGAAAACGUACGUGUUCAACAUUCAUUCAUCCUGCACCCCGACCAGCGUAUGAAGUGGAAAUUCCUGGUUUCUUCGGAGACUCAGUUGUGUCAGGCUUUUAAUCAAAACAAACGUUACGGAAUGAAGUCGGAGUGAGCUGUCUAUGUCAACUGCAUCCUAAGUGGCCUCUCAGGCUGCAGAGUGUGUAACCGGGGUUGGCUGCUACCCUGAAUUCUUCAUCUUGGUAUGGUUUUUCUCUACGUCUGUCAUUUAACAGGACUGCGGUCCCGUGAUGUUUUCCUGUGAAUCCAUCAGAACUAUAAAUGUGGAUGCACGAUAAUAAUUCAGAGACCCAGUGUGAAGAACGCUCCCAAUGAGAAUGUUAGCUGCCAUGGACAAUUUCUCUUUUUUACUGUAGUUUGAAGCCAUUAAAAUAUUUGUUCGUGA
Molecule: long non-coding RNA, 679 nt
Organism: Rattus norvegicus (Norway rat)
Lineage: Eukaryota; Metazoa; Chordata; Mammalia; Rodentia; Muridae
Source: RefSeq, a predicted model, not a curated record